Molecule: ribosomal RNA, 477 nt
Filed under: uncultured bacterium
Lineage: Bacteria
Description: bacterial SSU rRNA
Rfam family: Bacterial small subunit ribosomal RNA
Source: RNAcentral
AGAGUUUGAUCAUGGCUCAGCCUAAACGCUGGCGGCAUGGCUAAAGCAUGCAAGUCGAGGGAAACCCCUUCGGGGGAAUACCGGCGGAAGGGUGAGGAAUAGUAUCGAACGUGCCCCAAGGUGGGGGAUAGCCGCGGGAAACUGCGGGUAAUACCCCAUGUGCUCUACGGAGGAAAGCUCAGGCGCCUCGGGAGCGGCGAUACUCCUAUCAGGUAGUUGGUGGGGUAAUGGCCUACCAAGCCGAAGACGGGUAGCGGGUGUGAGAGCACGGCCCGCCACAUCGGGACUGAGACACUGCCCGGACUCCUACGGGAGGCUGCAGCGACGAAUCUUCCGCAAUGCACGAAAGUGUGACGGAGCAAUGCCGCGUGCGGGAUGAAGCGGCUUCGCCGUGUAAACCGCUGUCAGGACCCAGAAAGAGCUGAUCGGGUCCAGAGGAAGGGCCGGCUAAUCUCGUGCCAGCCGCCGCGGUAAUUC